Molecule: non-coding RNA, 100 nt
Organism: Chelonoidis abingdonii (Abingdon island giant tortoise)
Lineage: Eukaryota; Metazoa; Chordata; Testudines; Testudinidae
Source: RefSeq, a predicted model, not a curated record
GUACUGGUUGGUUCUUCAAAUCUAGCCCAUCUCCAUGCAGAGUCUCUUUUCUUUUUGAUUUUAUACAUCCCAUAUUUCCUUCCUGAGUCUGACACUUUGG